Molecule: ribosomal RNA, 253 nt
Filed under: uncultured bacterium
Lineage: Bacteria
Description: partial 16S ribosomal RNA
Rfam family: Bacterial small subunit ribosomal RNA
Source: RNAcentral
UACAGAGGGUGCAAGCGUUAAUCGGAAUUACUGGGCGUAAAGCGUGCGCAGUCGGUUAUUUAAGUCGGAUGUGAAAUCCCCGGGCUCAACCUGGGAAUUGCAUUCGAUACUGGAUAGCUAGAGUUCGGCAGAGGGAAGUGGAAUUUCUGGUGUAGCGGUGAAAUGCGUAGAUAUCAGAAGGAACAUCAGUGGCGAAGGCGACUUCCUGGACCAGAACUGACGAUCAGGCACGAAAGCGUGGGGAGCAAACAGG